This is a non-coding RNA of Lolium perenne, 3749 nucleotides long. The record is from RefSeq and is a predicted model, not a curated record. Lineage: Eukaryota; Viridiplantae; Streptophyta; Magnoliopsida; Poales; Poaceae.
UCUGCCACAUCUCAAUACGUCAAACAGUUUCGUCGUCCCGCACAACGUCGCCCGCUUCGUCCGACCUUGUCUGCCCCGCACGCGCCAAGCUGGGCCAGGCGCCCAGGCCCAUCACAAAUUCACAAUGCAUCCCCUAUCUCUUCUCUCCCCUGGCGAAGUGGCCAUCCCUCCCUAUCCAACCCUAGCCGCCAUGCCUUCUCACCCCCACACGAUCUCCUUCCUCCACCCGUGGGCGUCCUCCACGCGUGGCCAGGCAAGCCCCAGCUUGAUCGCGUCGGCCCGGGGGUCGCCGGCGUGUUCCUCGCUCGCCCGUGUGAUCUCACCAUCACCAUCCUUGCACGGCCGCCCUAGCUCCCCAUUUUCUUCCAAGCGCGGCCAGGGAAGGGCACACACAGCACGUCCUCCACAUCUCUAGCCACCGCCUCACCUCUUUGAGUCAGUCAAGAGUCAGGACAUGGGCAUCCCUUUCCCAUGGCUGCCGUCGAGGGCGGCCAGCCGCUGACUUGUAGAGCGCUUUUCACCGCUGCGAGAUCUUUGAUUCCUCUACCUCCACUAGCCUCCUCUCUCAUUAGAUGGAAAUUUUCUUGGAUGAAGAAUUGCAGAUGCUUCAGAACAUAAUGGGGAUCCUCGCGCUGCUCCGGGCCCCACGCCGCUAUCUGGAGAUUCAGGGCUGCCUGCAUCGUCCGCGCCAUCGGAUACCACUGGAGGGGGAAGAGUUCGUCGUGAUGGCGCCUAGACCUCCCAGCGCCGCCCCUCCUUAUAGAACUGAUUGUCACGGGUUGACGACAUGAGGUGUCGUGCUUGCUCAAGUUUCAGGUUGUGAACAGUGGAGCCUAUCGCUGCAUUGUUUUGUCUGUACACUAAGCCUACUUGAAGGCGUUCGCUGUAGCCAGCAAACCCUGUGCUCUCCUGCUCUAGCCCGUGCACCAGAUGAUCUGGAUUUGGUAAGCUCUCUCAGCUCUGCACAAGAAGGUCUUCUCUGCACCUUUAUUUUUGAGGUGUUGCUGAUAUGUUCCUCGCAUAUGUUUCACUUGCAUGUAUCAUUUUGUUUCUGGUUUCCAGACCUAUAGAACCUAUCGUGAAGCUAAAUAAGCAUUUGCACCUUUUCAGUAAGUAUGCAAUAUUUAUGCCAUGGUUCUAUAUUAAAACCUAAAAAGUACCAUUGUACAUAAGGUAGUUUUUUUAAUAUGUGGGUGCAUUUACAUAAUUAUGCAUUUGUUUAUAAUCCCAUCUCAUACCAUGGAAUCCAUUUCUUGCUAUAUCAGGGGACUGUUCUUUGGAAUGUCGAAACCAGGAUUGUUUUCGGUGUGUUAUUCAGCUCACCAAGUGCAAAGUUCUGGCAUCAUCAACAUCACAAUGGACAAGUAAAAUCCAGUUUGUUAACUGAGGUAUAUGUAAUCCCAUCAUUACCUUAUUUUGGUGCAUGAUCAUCAUAAUUUUCUACUAUGGUUCUAUACUUCAGAUUGUGUUUAUUGUACAUAAGAAUGUUUCUUUAGAGCCAUCAUGAAAACAGGUUUAGACCCCUAUUUCAAGGUACAGGGUCUAGAACAUGGCUUGGGACUCAUGACUUCCUAUUUUGUUCUAGCAUGAGCAAAUUGUAGGCUAGGAUGCACGUGAUGGUUUCUACCAUGGACAUGGACAUCGGGGUAAUUCUCCAUGUCAUGUGGUGGGGGUCAUUCUUCCAUAGAGAUGCCAAGAUUUUACUACUCCCAUCUAUUCAAACUGCUGGUUCUUAUGUUACCAAGAUGGUUUUGUUAUUUAUAAAUUGCCUGAUUAUUGUGUUUUGUUUUCCAACCAAGAAUUAUAUUUAUUCUCUGUUUUCUAAGCAAGAAGAAUAUUUUGUGCAUUUUCUCCAUUUUAAAACUAAGUUAUCCUGCCUCACAGUUUUUUCUAUUUUGUAAACUUUAUUCUCCUUAACCAAAUGGAAGUAGACAUGGGUAAGUUUACGAUUUACCAAUUUUAGAUUUUUUUGAUGUUGGCUUGCCUAAAAUUUAUGCUGAGUUGUAAAUUCAAUUCCCUCACUUUGCAUGCCUAUGUUGAUGUUUAUCGGCCUGCUGCACGAGUAAGCUUUUAUUCAUUCAUCCAAAUGGGAUGUGCAUCACUUUGAUGCAGAGGCUGGGGUAUGCCCCCAUUUAAAAAAAAUGGGUUGUGCAUGUUUCUAACUAGGCAUUUAUGGCUUUAUAAGUGCUGGCCUAACUGGAUCCCUUUGGUCAGUCCUUGCUCCGGCUCUCCGCUUCAGGCACAUAUGUGUGCAGCUCUGCUGGUGAGCUGUUGGGUCCCGUAUGGCUGCAGCACUAUACUGUGCUGCGGAUGCUGUAGCGCAUGAACUCUACUAUUUCUCUGUAUAUUUGUAGGUAGAGCUGAUAUAAACGCCGACUAAGUUUUCCAACAGAAGUAAGUAAUCCCUCCUUAAGGCAUCCUUUACUUUUUCCCCUGCAUUUUGGGAAGUGGAUAUCCUUACUCUAGGCGCAGGCAGUGAGUUUACUUGGGAAGUGUAAAUCCUAUUGGUUCCAAACUGAUGAAAAUUUGGAAACUUGCUGUUUAAAUCAUUUCGUUUGGACAUGCAGUCUUCAGAAGAUUAAAAAUUCAGCUGUCAGUGGACUUUGAACUUUAUUUGUGUCCUUACAAAAAUAAAUAAUUCAUUUGUUAUACAUUGGGUCUCAGAUUUCAAUUUGCGUCGGAAUCCAAAUGUGUGCUUUGGUCGAUCAGAACAGGUUCCAGACCAAUCUACUGGCGCAUAUUACAUGAAAUGGAUGAUAGUUUAUUUUUUUUGACAGCAUCAGUAGCUCUCAAUUCAUCCAAAGGAUCAUCAAAAAUGGUUAUCUUAUUCAUCAAUAGUUACACAUUGAAGAUAUUAGUAGUUGGUCUGCUUAAAUGGUUCUUUAGAAUGUUGACCCUCUAAAAAUAGGAGAGUACUAAUAUAUGUCAGGGAUACAGAGUGAGGUCCAUAUAAAGUACUCUGAGAUUGAGCAAGCAUGUGGAUUUAAAAGGUCAGCUUUUUCUCUAAUCUUCUUUGAAUCCUAUGGCAAGAUUUUUACAAAAUAUUUCCAAAAAUUAUAAGGUAUAUUGAGGAAAAAUUAGCAACUAAUAGAUAUUAUUGCACCAUGGUCAUGUAUAUAGUUUAGCCAAUACAUAUAUUCACAGGCUUGGGUGAGUGGGUAUUGGAAGCUAAAACUAUGUCAGGAAGUAAUAUGGGUGAACAUAUGUACAUACAUAGGAUUGUGCUGAAUGCUAGAUCUACAAAAUGGUCUUCUUCCUGCUGCGUCGUGGAAGUACCCAAUCUGAUUUUGCUAUCCAAUGAUAAUUUAGAAAAUUCAGGAGCCAAUGCUUUAUCAGGUUGGUAUCUAUUUGUCAAAGACUGUAUUUGCACGGCCAGUACUAUGUUGCCCCUCAUGCUUUUGCCUUCUUGAUAUAUGCAUUUUGUAUAUUCAGUUGAUUAAUAUUGUUCUUGAUUUUUUCUUUUAACCAGGAUUCACUCAACUGAAAGCACCAAGCUUCCUGCUCUUCUUGCGUUGGGAUUUUUUAUGCCAAAAUGCUUAAGACAGCUGAGUCUGAAGUGCAAGUUUUUCCAUUAGUCUUUUCUCAAACCUUUUGUCAUCUUCUGUUCUGUCUGUAUAAAUACAUGGAGCUGUUUCAUGUGUAACGCUUCAGCUUGAGCAUGUCGAUUUGGCCCAGUAGUUGUGUCAACUAUUGAAUUUAUCUGUCAGCAUGAACAUGGUACGGCUGUUUUAUCUAUAUUUUCUACUCCA